Capsicum annuum is the source of this 630-nucleotide long non-coding RNA. RefSeq lists it as uncharacterized. The transcript has 5 exons. The record is from RefSeq and is a predicted model, not a curated record. NCBI's taxonomy places the organism in Eukaryota, Viridiplantae, Streptophyta, Magnoliopsida, Solanales, Solanaceae.
AAAAUUUCAGCCUCUAGGUUUUUCUCUCUUGUUCUCUCAUGGCUAUGAAGUAACCCUAUAUACCCACAAUGUUUCUUGGAAUUGAGAUUCCUCCCAAGAUAAAGGGAUUAAGCUUAUUGAAGAGAUACAAAUUAAGAGGCUAAACUAACAAGGAAAUUAAGUGUAUGUGUGAAGGUAUUAAUCUAUUGAAGAGAUACAAAUUAUGAGGCUAAACUAAAAAGGAAAUCAAGGUGGCAGCACAGGGGCGUAAUCCUAGCAUGGGUCGUCCUAAUUUAUCUACUUACCACUGAUCAGCUGGUCAUUUGCAUGAUAUAUGGCUUACAAAGAUUAUGAAGUAAGAAGGCACAUGUACUUCUGUUCAUACACCUCAUUACUAGGAGCACAUCUAUUCGGUGACUAUUGGUGAGCUCCAGGUUGAUUUGGGGCUUUUCAAGUCUGUUCCAUAUAUUUUGGUGUUGUACAGAAGUUUAAGAGUAGGGCAGGGGUUUGUCCUGAACCUAACUAAGUAUAUGUUUCUUUUAGAGGCUUUGUAGACUAAUGUAAAGUUAUGGAAGUGUUUGUCUUUAGAUAUGGUGGCCCCAACGGCCUAGUGUUGUAUAUAUAAGUUUGUGCUUGUCUAUAUAAUUAUUC